Molecule: long non-coding RNA, 9052 nt
Filed under: Medicago truncatula (barrel medic)
Lineage: Eukaryota; Viridiplantae; Streptophyta; Magnoliopsida; Fabales; Fabaceae
Description: long non-coding RNA (MTRU_LNC006546)
Source: RNAcentral
UCAACUCAACUCGCAGCUGGUAUCAUCGCCAUCAGGUUCCGGUGGGUUAACCAUUUUUGCACCAGAAGAUUCUGCAUUCUCCAAACUCAAAGCAGGGUUCCUCAACUCCCUCACUGAUAGACAAAAAGUCGAACUCUUACAGUUUCACUCCCUUGCUUCAUUCGUUUCUAUUUCAAACUUCGAUACCUUAACCAACCCUGUUCAAACACAAGCCGGUGAUGAUGCUAGGCUUCAACUGAACGUCACUACUUAUGGUGGCAGUCAAGUUAGUAUGGCUACCGGAGCAGUCAAUGCUACCGUUACCGGUACUGUUUAUACCGACAGCAAACUUGCUAUUUAUCAGGUUGAUAAGGUACUUAUGCCUCUUGAUCUUGUUCUUCCGGCUAAGGCUCCAGCUCUGGCUCCUGCACCAGCUAAGGGUUUGUUGCCUAAGGCUGGAAAAACGAAUUCUUCAGUUGCAGAUGAUGGUAGUGGUGCUGGUAGUGAUGAUGGUGAUGGCAAGGAUUUACCUGCUGAUAUUUCUGCUGCAGGGUCUGUGAUGUGGGUGAAUGCUGUUGUUGUUUUUGGAAUGGGUUUGGUUGGUGGAGUUGUUCUAUAAGGUGGAUGGAUGAGCAAUAUUGAUGGAGCGAUUCAAUGAUUUUUUUAGUUGUUGUUUUGAGGUUUUAUUGUGUUCUGUUUUGUUUGAGUGAUUCUGUUUUCAUUUGAGUUUUUGCUAUUUGUUUGUAGAAUAGGGUGAAAGUUGAAAAAACAUGUUUCUGCUAUUUAUUCUUCCUAUUUGUUCAUUUUGUUUUGGUAACUUGUAAUUUGUAUUUCUUUUAUGGAUUAUUGGAAUCUAAUUAAUACUUUUUUUUUUUUACAAAAGAAUCUAAUUUAUACAUGAGGGGUUUAGGUUCUGUAUUUAGUUUUUUUAACACACGAAUAAUAAUCGAGCGUUCCUUUAAAAAAAAUUAAAAAUGAUCAAGCAUUGGUAUGCUAGUGUUAAUGAUUUUCAAGGUACCUUCUCCGUGAUCUCCUUUUAUCUUUAUCUUAGCAACAAGGUAUUCCCUCUGUCUUCCUUUCAUGAGUCACAAAAUUCGGAUAUAGCAAAGGUAUGGGGAAGUUAUGCUCCAUCAAAAAUGUUAACCUUUUCUUAGCAAUUGGUUAUGCACCAUCUUCCUACAAGAAAAAAUCUCUUCCAAGAGGUGAGUGUUAGGUGAUGUAGGGGAGGCGGGUUGCCAUAGGGUGAUGAGGACAUGGAAACCGAGGAUCGCUUGUUUACCACUUGUGAUUUCGCUAGUAAAAUUUGGCAUGAGAAUUUCAAAUGGCUUGGUGAGGUAAUAGUGUUAUGGAACAUUGCUGCAUUGCUAGAGAUUUUUGCUUCUUUGAUCCGGUAAGGAAAAGAUGAGAAGGUGAUGAUAUUAGUUUGGCAUACAACUACUUGGGAAAUUUGGAAGGCAGAGAACGAUAGAAAAUCUUCAACGAAAAAUAAAAUCUACAAAAGUGGCAGAGGAGAUUGACUCUAUAAAAGGUUUAUCUUAGCGUUGGUUUUUGGGUAAAAAUUCGGGAGAGUCAUAUGUUUCCAAUAGAUUAUAUGCUUAGGCAAUAGAGUUAGAACUAAUUUUUGGUUGAGGGUGAAGUACUGCUUGUACUUAUUCCCAUGGAAAUUUAAUACCACUUGUACUUGGUUACUCUUUUUAUCAAUAAAUUUUGUUUUCUGUUCAAGAAAAAGAAUUUGAGUUUAUGAAUAAAUUAAAUUGGACAACAGAACUAUUAUAAACGAAGUUUGAGUGGCGCUAAGAGAAGUAGGAUUGUGGAGGAAACGGAACUGUAACGGUUUGGAGGAAAUUCUGAGGAUGGAAUCUGACAUUGGAGCCUCACGGAAAUGUGGACAAGACAACAAUGUUUAAGCUCUAGUCUAGAAGAUAAAUCAUUUAGCUUAAUUACAGGGAGCAGCCGAAUGAAGGGUGCAAUGACCAACGGCGAUUGAGACCUCUGACUUGCAAGAUUUAUGAGCCACUACCGUGUGAAGGAAAUAGAGACCUGAAAUAAGGAACUCACAGUGAAGAAGAAUGGAGGGUUUCUUUCAUUUUGGUCCAUGUACCAUGUCAUUUGGUCCUUCUCAUUCUAGUCUCAGUUUUUGUACCGAUUUAAUGUCCCUAUUUAACGCUGGGGAUUAAAAUGAUUAAUAUAAUAAAGAGUUGAGGAUUUGAUUAGAUUAUCAUCUUAUUAAGAUAUCAAUUUGACAAUGAGUUACACUUUCCGAGACUAAAAUGUUGGUUUGCACAUUAUAAUCUUUUUUUACGCUGAAAUUAUGAGUGCUAAUUUUACUAUUGAAACAGGUUUUCAAAAUGGUUGACAUAAUUUAUGGCUUGAAUGCGAUUAUACAUUGAUGGUUGAUGCUUUAAAAAACAGUAGUCUGAUUCCAUGGAAGUUUUUGAAUAGAUGGCAGAACUGUAACAAUUUUACUAGCCAGAUGCGAUUCUUGUUUACUCACAUCUUCAAAGAGGGCAACAUGUUUGCCGACAAGUUAUCUAAUUAUGAUAUUUCUAUCGAGUUUUGUUGAUGUCAUUUGAUUUCUUCUUUUAUUUUAGAUGAAUUUUUUAGAAAUAAGAUUUUUCUUCCUAAUUAAACGCAUCUUCUAAUAUUGAUUUUGUUAUUUCUACUUCAAUAUCCUUGUAUCUUGAUGAGCUAGCAUACGUACUUUUAGCCUUAAAAAAGGUGGGUUCUAACACUUCAUGCAGUUGGAUUACAUGCUUGUACAUAUUAAUACACCUUAUAGGCUCUAACACUACCUAUCAUACACAAAUCUUACCUCCCUCACCAUUUAUCAGUUACAAUACUAUGAUACACCACCUUUCCAUGACAGACAAAGAAGAUUUGUUCUAUCAGAAACUGCACCUUUCUGACAAAACAUUGCACCUAAUUAACCAAUCAAUAAUUUCCAUCCCCCUAAACUAUAAAAGCCAACCCUUUCUCCCCUCUUCCUCCACAGCAACAUCAAGCAAUAAUAAGCAUUAGUAUACUCUAUCACCAUUUCCAAACAAAACCAAAAACAUGAAAAAUAUGAUGCAACAAUCUCUCAUUUCCACCUCAUUCUUUCUUCUAGCAAUUGCUUUCUACACUCCUACCACUUUAGCCCAACUCUCACCAAUUCAAACCCCAUCAACAUCAUCACCCUCACCACCCUUACCAUCAACAACAGCAUCACCACCAUUACCAGCAACAACAGCAACAGCACCAUCACCAGGAUUAAGUACAGUUCCGCUUGUUCCAACAACACCAACUGGUGCACCAUCACCCACCAUAACAGUCCCAAAAGGACCCACCAUUGACAUAAUCAACAUUCUUCAAAAAGCCAAAAGGUUCUCCGUUCUAAUCCGUCUUCUCAAAACAACACAAUUAAUCAAUCAACUCAACUCGCAGCUGGUAUCAUCGCCAUCAGGUUCCGGAGGGUUAACCAUUUUUGCACCAGAAGAUUCUGCAUUCUCCAAACUCAAAGCAGGGUUCCUCAACUCCCUCACUGAUAGACAAAAAGUCGAACUCUUACAGUUUCACUCCCUUGCUUCAUUCGUUUCUAUUUCAAACUUCGAUACCUUAACCAACCCUGUUCAAACACAAGCCGGUGAUGAUGCUAGGCUUCAACUGAACGUCACUACUUAUGGUGGCAGUCAAGUUAGUAUGGCUACCGGAGCAGUCAAUGCUACCGUUACCGGUACUGUUUAUACCGACAGCAAACUUGCUAUUUAUCAGGUUGAUAAGGUACUUAUGCCUCUUGAUCUUGUUCUUCCGGCUAAGGCUCCAGCUCUGGCUCCUGCACCAGCUAAGGGUUUGUUGCCUAAGGCUGGAAAAACGAAUUCUUCAGUUGCAGAUGAUGGUAGUGGUGCUGGUAGUGAUGAUGGUGAUGGUAAGGAUUUACCUGCUGAUGUUUCUGCUGCAGGGUCUGUGAUGUGGGUGAAUGCUGUUGUUGUUUUUGGAAUGGGUUUGGUUGGUGGAGCUGUUCUAUAAGGUUUAUUUGAUGGAAGGAUUCAGUGAUUUUUUGUUGUUCUGUGUGAUUGAUUCUGUAUUUUAUGUUGGCUUACUGUUCUGCAUCUUUGCUCUUUUAUUCUGUUAACUUGUAAUUUGUGUUUCGUUCAUGGAUUAUGAGAAUUCAAUUAUACAUGAGGGGCUUUUGAUCAUUAAUUAAUUUUUGGGUUAAAUAUGCUAUUGGUCCCUACAUUUUGUGCGACUUUGAAUAAUAGUCCCUACAUUUUAAUAAAUGUUUUUAAAAUCCUUACAUUUUUACUCCGUUAUCAUUAAUAGUCCCCGCCGUCAAUUUCUUCCCAGUCACCAAACAGAAUGCUGACGUGGCAUAAUGGUGGAUCCCAUAUUUUUUAUUUUUUAAUCCUAUAAUAAAAUAUAUCAAAAGCUACGUUAAUAAACUAAGCCAAAGUAUUAUUAUUUUUUUUUCUUCCUGAAAGUCACCAAAUAAGAUCCAGAAUCAAAGGCAACGCAAACAAAACUUUAACAAAUAGCAUUCACCAUAUGCAAUUCAUGAAACAAAAUCAAAAUUGAGAAACAGAACCUAAGCCUCAGUAACGGGAUACUAAAGACAACAUCUUUGCCUGAUAGUUUCCUGUAAAUUGCAGUGUUGUUUCUAUCCUUUGGGUCAAAAAACACCUUCAUGAUCUUUGAUCCAUCAACAACAUUAAUCUCAGUGGAUUUCUUCAUCUCUUGCAUACCCCAACAACAACAAAAAUAUUGCAGUAACCCAUCUGAGAUCUCAGUGAAUUUCUUCCCUCUGAGAUCUGAGCAUCGACAACAAUGGUGAUGGUAUGGGUAUGGUAAGGUCAUGAUGGCUGCAAUGGUAACAGCGUGGAGGCGUGGUGGUGAGACGGUGGAGCGCGGAGAGGAUGGAAGUUCCGAUUUGUGAUGGGGCGGCGCUUACGGCGGAGAGAGUGACGAAGAUGGUGAUAGUGAGGUGGCUGGAUGGUGGAGGCACAAGGGUCGUGUGAGAGGAUGGGUGGUUACAUGAGAGAGCUGAAGAGAGAGCAUCUGGAAAAUGAUUUUAGGGCUAUGGGUUUUGGAAUGGAACUUGCAGCAACAAUGGACAUGGUGGAAAAAUGAUGAACAUGGGUUAAAUUCAUAUGAACCGGGUCAAAUAGAACCGUUUUGGUCCAAACCCGGUUUUAAUUUUGAUAAGAAAAAUAAAAUAAAAUAAAAUAAAAAUUUUGCCAUGUCAGCCUUCUGUUAGCUUAUCAUGCAAAAAUAUCGGCAGAGACCAAUUGUACUGAUGAAAGUAAAAUGUAAGGAUUUUAAAAACAUUUAUUGAAAUGCAAAGACUAUUAUUCAAAGUCGCAUAAAAUAUAAGGAACCAAAAACAUAUUUAACCCUUAAUUUUUUCCAAGAUAUGUUGGUUAUAGUUUCUUUUGUUGUAUAAAGAUCUCUCAUGGAAUUUGUAACUAUCAUAUUGCACAUUGGUUAGGUAACGCUUAUUUCAAAUAAGGAGAAUGUCCUUCACUAUUUAAAAAUCAAAAUCAAUUUAGGUUAAAGAUCAAUUUUUUUUUAACAAGCAAAAAUGAAAUAUAUAUUAACCACAAAAAGUAACUCUUCUAGUACAAGAUGUGCCAAAAGAAUUACCUAAGGAAUAAAGUAGCAGUUAUAUAACCAACAAACAAACCAUUAAGUGAUGUCCAAGCAUUGAAACGGACUUGAACGCCACCUAUCUGUGCCAAACUUAAAGGCAGCCUUUUUGGAUUUCAUCCAGACUAAAGACAAAUAUUUCACUUUAUCUAGCAACCUAGGCAUAGGACUUACAACAUUAUUGAAAAGCCUAUUAUUGCGCUCAUUGCAUAAGACCCACACGCACAAUAGCCAAAUAAGUUGAAGGAAUGAUCACUUUGCUUUGCCACCACCUGCUAUAUGCACGAAUUGAAGAAAAUGAUUGGCUAUAACAUUAGUGUCGACGCCUAUAAUGCCCAACCAAUGGCACACUAGGGGCCAAAACGAUGAAUAAAUAUUACAAGAUAAAAACAAAUGUUGUUUUGUUUCCACUAAGCCGCAAUCAGCGACACACAAAGAAGCUUCUGAAGAAAUAACCCGUCUAUGGACCAGGUUGGACUUAGUUGGCAAUCUGUUAUGAAGCAACCUCCAGGCAAAGAUAGAAACCUUUAACGACACCUGAUUAUGCCAAAUCAAAGAUGAUGCAUGAUUCGCAAUAGAAGUAUCCUUUGUAGUUAGUAGAUGAUAAGACCCGCGAACUGAGUACCCUUCAGAAGGGUCCGGUAACCAAACCCACUUGUCUGAAAUAUUAGCAUACAAAGAAACAUCAAGCAGUAAAGUCCUACACUCCUCUAACUCCUCUUCCUCCCACGCCCACAAACUCCUCCUCCACUUCCACGCCUCCCCCCUGCUCAAAACCAAAAGAAAACAAAUUCGCCACUAUAAUGAAUUUGUUCUCGGAAAGAGCAAACAAUCGAGGAUACCUCACACACAAAGUAGCCGAUCCUAACCACUUAUCAAACCAAAACAGAGUAUCGAAACCAUCCCCCAACUUCUUAGACACAGACUCCCCAAACCAGCCUCCACCAACAACACUGCCCCAUCUCUAAUCCUCGCCACCUCCCUCCACCAAGAAGAACAACUCCGGCCCCCAACCUCCAACCUCCCACCUACUUCGCCAUACGGGCGACUAAAACUCAAUACCACAAACCACUCCUAUCAACAAGCAUCCUCCAACACCACUUUCCUAACAAAGCCUGAUUAAACUCCUUCAACUGUCUCACCCCCAAACCUCCAAACUCCUUAUGGAGGCACACAUUAUGCCACCCUAUCCAAGAUAUUUUCCUAUUAUCCUCACUCCCACCCCAAAAAAAAAUUAUUAAACAAAGAUUCAAUGGAAGAGAUUAUACCUGAUGGAGCUUUGAAGAAGGAAAGCGCAUAGACAGGCAGAGAGGUCAAGACAUAUUUUAAAAGAACCAGCUGCCUCUAAAAGAGAAAAAACGUCUAUUCCAACCAGACAUCCUAACUUUAAUCUGAUUCACAAUAGGAUCCCAGAAACUCAAUCGCCGAGGAUUACCUCCAAUAGACAUACCCAGGUACAUAAAAGGCACAUUGCCCACUUUGCAACUUAAAACAGAUGCCGCCCCAUUUAACCAAGAGGGAGAAAUAUUGACACCAACUAAAAUGCUCUUAUGAAAGUUCACCUUCAAACCUGACAUAGCCUAAAAAAUAACAAGAGCAGCCCUUAGAGCACGGACAUUUAUCCAACUUUUAGUUCCCAAUAACAGGGUGUCAUCCGCAAAUUGAAGAUGGGACACCACAACCGAAUUAGCUGCCCCAAUACUAUAACCAGUGAACAACUGAGUUUGAACCAAAGAAUUCAUCAGAAUAUUAAGACCCUCUGCAGCCAACAAAAAAAGGAACGAUGAAAAAGGGUCGCCUUGCCGUAAUCCCCUUUUUAACGGGAACUUAUCUGUCGGACUACCAUUAACAAGCACUGAAGUCGUAGCUGUACCAACACACUCACGAAUCCACUUUCUCCAAAGAGCCGGGAAAGACAUACGACCCAACACAGAGUCCAGAUAACCCCAAUCAACAGAGUCAUAAGCCUUUUCAAAAUCCACCUUAAACAACAUAAGAUCUUUCUUUAAUUUUUGAGCUUCAUCCACAACCUCAUUAGCUAUAAGAAUACCGUCAAGAAUUUGUCUAUUUUUAACAAACGCUGACUGAGACUCCGAAAUAACGGAACCAAUCACCCCACAAAGUCUGUUAGCUAGUAAUUUUGCAAGAAUUUUAUACAAACUCCCCACCAGAGAGAUGGGUCGAAAAUCAUUAAGACGCUGAGGGCUAUCAACCUUCGGAAUUAGAGCGAUGAAAGUGGUGUUAAUACCUUUGGAUAAUUUACCAUUGCGGUGGAAUUCGGAAACAAAACGCAAAAUCUCAUCCUUCAACUAUAUCCAAAAUUUCUUAAUGAAGCCAAAGUUAAUACCAUCAGGUCCCGGGCUCUUCUAACUGUCACAAUCCCACACAACUUCCUUAAUUUCGUCUAGUGAAAAUGGUUUGAUAAGACCCACACCCUCCUCAACAGACAAAGUUUGAAACUGCAAGUUGGCAAUACUAGGACAUUCCACAACAUCAUAUCGACAGUGAUUCUGAAAAUGCCAAAAGACUGCUUCACAAAUGGGGUGAACACCUUCCACCAAGACCCCAUCCACCAAAAUAGAGCACAGCGAAUUACGUCGCCUCCUACUAGCCAUGACUGAAUGAAAAUAUUUUGAAUUAGCAUCACCAUCACGCAACCACUGAACCCGGGACUGUUGCCAGCAAAUACUAGUAUUAAGUCGGGACAAGGAAUGAAUAUCCAACGAAACACCAUGAAAUUAUGCGCAUUCCUCCUCUGACAACACCAUAGAUUUGCCUUUUUCAUCUAAAUAUGCCAGACGAUCCUUCAAACCUAAAAUCUUCCCCGGUAAAUUUUGAGUAUGAGAGGCAUGCCAAAACCACUAUCACACACUUGUAACUUUGUUUCUUGAAGACACAAAAUAAAAGGACACUUAUCUUGAAUCAAAGUACAGACCUCCUUCCUCUUUUCAAACCCACCUAACCCCUGCACAUUUCACGUUAUGAUCUUCAUCUCCACACCCUCACCCUAACCACCCUCCCCCACCACUCCCACACCUAACACCCUCCAACAGCCGCACUCUCUCCCCCAUAUCUCCUUUCACUCCGCCCCUCCUUUCUCUCUCUCCCCCUCUUCUAGACAACACCCCAAACAUAUUAUUAUUACUCCCAUUAAACUGAACACUGAUAGCCUCACCAAUCCCCUUUACAUCAUCCACAACUACCUUCUCAUUCCCAUGCACAACCACAAAAUUAACCCAAUCGUUGUUAACUGAACAUGAAGAAGAACUUUUAUCUGAAGCUCCCGAAGACCCCACCUUCACCGCCUUUUUCAGACGAUCCGACCCAUGUAAUUUUCUAGCUUUAGAUUUUAGAAUGUGCAAAACUGUUGAUCAAUCAUUGGUCGGUAACCUUGCCACUUUUUUCAAACUAUUCACCGAAUGUCGCAAGAUACCAUCCACUUUCUUUCGUUUCU